This 890-nucleotide ribosomal RNA is filed under the name uncultured bacterium. Its description in RNAcentral is "bacterial SSU rRNA". It matches the Rfam family "Bacterial small subunit ribosomal RNA", at positions 28 to 917 of the family's 1533-position model. The record is from RNAcentral.
GAUGAACGCUAGCGGCAGGCUUAACACAUGCAAGUCGAGGGGCAGCACGGGUAGCAAUACCUGGUGGCGACCGGCGGAAGGGUGCGUGACGCGUGAGCAACAUGCCCUAUACAGGGGAAUAAUCCAGGGAAACUUGGUCUAAUGCCCCAUAGCAAUAAGAUAAGGCAUCUUAUUUUAUUUAAAGCUUCGGUGGUAUAGGAUUGGCUCGCGUGACAUUAGCUGGAUGGUGGGGUAACGGCCCACCAUGGCGAUGAUGUCUAGGGGUUCUGAGAGGAAGACCCCCCACACUGGGACUGAGACACGGCCCAGACUCCUACGGGAGGCAGCAGUGAGGAAUAUUGGACAAUGGAUGAAAAUCUGAUCCAGCCAUGCCGCGUGCAGGAAGACGGCCCUAUGGGUUGUAAACUGCUUUUCUACGGGAGCAAUAAGGUCUACGCGUAGACUGAUGAGAGUACCGUAGGAAUAAGCAUCGGCUAACUCCGUGCCAGCAGCCGCGGUAAUACGGAGGAUGCGAGCGUUAUCCGGAUUUAUUGGGUUUAAAGGGUGCGUAGGCGGCUUUUUAAGUCAGCGGUGAAAUUUUGCAGCUUAACUGUAACAGUGCCGUUGAUACUGGGGAGCUAGGAUUUGGUUGCUGUGGGUGGAAUGUGUGGUGUAGCGGUGAAAUGCUUAGAGAUCACACAGAAUAUCGAUUGCGAAGGCAGCUCACAAAGCCAAGAUUGACGCUGAGGCACGAAAGUGUGGGGAUCAAACAGGAUUAGAUACCCUGGUAGUCCACACUGUAAACGAUGAUAACUCGCUGUCGGCGAUACACAGUCGGUGGCCAAGCGAAAGCGAUAAGUUAUCCACCUGGGGAGUACGACCGCAAGGUUGAAACUCAAGGAAUUGACGGG